Molecule: unclassified non-coding RNA, 200 nt
Filed under: Trichocladium sp.
Lineage: Eukaryota; Fungi; Ascomycota; Sordariomycetes; Sordariales; Chaetomiaceae
Description: partial internal transcribed spacer 2
Source: RNAcentral
UUAAGUUCAGCGGGUAUCCCUACCUGAUCCGAGGUCAAACUUAAAAGAAGCUUAAUGGGAGGAGGCCUGCCAGAAUCGCGACGCAAUGUGCUGCGCACGAAGCCAACAUACCGGCUGCCAAUUGUUUUAAGGCGAGUCUACGCGCAAGGCGAGACAAACACCCAACACCAAGCAGAGCUUGAAGGUACAAAUGACGCUCG